This 440-nucleotide ribosomal RNA is filed under the name uncultured bacterium. Its description in RNAcentral is "partial 16S ribosomal RNA". It matches the Rfam family "Bacterial small subunit ribosomal RNA", at positions 338 to 795 of the family's 1533-position model. The record is from RNAcentral.
CCUACGGGAGGCAGCAGUGGGGAAUAUUGCACAAUGGGGGAAACCCUGAUGCAGCGACGCCGCGUGAAGGAAGAAGUAUUUCUGUAUGUAAACUUCUAUCAGCAGGGAAGAAAAUGACGGUACCUGACUAAUAAUCUCCGGCUAACUACGUGCCAGCAGCCGCGGUAAUACGUAGGGGGCAAGCGUUAUCCGGAUUUACUGGGUGUAAAGGGAGCGUAGGCGGUUUAGCAAGUCAGAAGGGAAAGCCCGGGGCUCAACUACGAGACUGCUUUUGAAACUGUUGAACUAGAUUGUAGGAGAGGUAAGCGGAAUUCGUAGUGUAGCGGUGAAAUGCGUAGAUAUUAGGAGGAACACCAGUGGCGAAGGCGGCUUACUGGACUAUAACUGACGUUGAGGCACGAAAGCGUGGGGAGCAAACAGGAUUAGAUACCCGGGUAGUC